Non-coding RNA from Zootermopsis nevadensis, 157 nucleotides. Lineage: Eukaryota; Metazoa; Arthropoda; Insecta; Blattodea; Termopsidae. The record is from Rfam.
GUGCCUUAAACUAAUGAGUAAGGAAAAUAUAGAGCCUUGGUGACGCUUGGUUCCAGCUAGGCGAUCUCUAGCACUAUAUAUUUUUGAAAGGGUACAGGUCGUCCUCUGAGUGGUUUGUCUACUUUUGCAAACUAUUCGAGUGACAGCGAUCUUCCCU